This 352-nucleotide ribosomal RNA is filed under the name uncultured bacterium. RNAcentral's name for it is "bacterial SSU rRNA". It matches the Rfam family "Bacterial small subunit ribosomal RNA", at positions 527 to 881 of the family's 1533-position model. The record is from RNAcentral.
GUAGGGGGCAAGCGUUAUCCGGAUUUACUGGGUGUAAAGGGAGCGUAGGUGGAUUGUUAAGUCAGUUGUGAAAGUUUGCGGCUCAACCGUAAAAUNGCAGUUGAAACUGGCAGUCUUGAGUACAGUAGAGGUGGGCGGAAUUCGUGGUGUAGCGGUGAAAUGCUUAGAUAUCACGAAGAACUCCGAUUGCGAAGGCAGCUCACUAGACUGUCACUGACACUGAUGCUCGAAAGUGUGGGUAUCAAACAGGAUUAGAUACCCUGGUAGUCCACACAGUAAACGAUGAAUACUCGCUGUUUGCGAUAUACAGUAAGCGGCCAAGCGAAAGCAUUAAGUAUUCCACCUGGGGAGU